AAGAAGGGGGGGUUGUUGUGGGGGGUCGAACAGGGGUUGGAUGAACUUUGAUGUCAACCUGAAGACUUCCAGAAAGCAUGGUUUUACUCAGUACCAAUAUUUAAAGAAAUUGCAAAUGUUAAACUGAGACUCUUUAUUUUAUAUCCAUUAAUACAUUAUGAUCAAACAGAAUUUAAGAUCCAACCAACCUCAUUUUUCUUUUGCAGUUUCACUAAACACAAGUAACAUGUUUACUGAGACACACACAGGACAUCCUUCUCAAUUCUUCUCUAUCAUAAUGCAGUUAUCAUAGAAAAAUUAAAACAAAGUACAUAAUAAUUAAUUGAUAAUGGCAGUAUGCUAGUUGAGAAACAAAAUUCAGCAUCAUGUUUGUGGCCAAAAGAUGAAACUUACCUGAUAGAAACCAACAGAGUUGAAACCCAAGCUAAGAUUCAAAAGCCCGAUGGAUAUCCCAUUUAAUAUGCCAAAUCCCA
Molecule: unclassified non-coding RNA, 473 nt
Filed under: Hevea brasiliensis (rubber tree)
Lineage: Eukaryota; Viridiplantae; Streptophyta; Magnoliopsida; Malpighiales; Euphorbiaceae
Source: RNAcentral